GAUGAACGCUAGCUACAGGCUUCACACAUGCAAGUCGAGGGGUAACAUUUGGGGAGCUUGCUUCCUUUGAUGACGACCGGCGAAUGGGUGAGUAACGCGUAUCCAACCUGCCCCUGGCUGGGGUAUAACCCGUCGAAAGGCGGCCUAAUCCCCCAUGGUGUCUUCUGAGGUCAUCCGAUGAAGACUAAAGGUAUUUUUUUUCCGGCCGGGUGAUGGGGAUGCGUCCGAUUAGCUUGCUGGUGAGGUAGCGGCUCACCAGGGCAUCGAUCGGUAGGGGUUCUGAGAGGAAGGUCCCCCACACUGGUACUGAGACACGGACCAGACUCCUACGGGAGGCAGCAGUGAGGAAUAUUGGUCAAUGGGCGCAAGCCUGAACCAGCCAAGUAGCGUGCAGGAUGAAGGCCCUAUGGGUUG
Molecule: ribosomal RNA, 414 nt
Filed under: Prevotella sp. oral taxon 315
Lineage: Bacteria; Pseudomonadati; Bacteroidota; Bacteroidia; Bacteroidales; Prevotellaceae
Description: bacterial SSU rRNA
Rfam family: Bacterial small subunit ribosomal RNA
Source: RNAcentral